AGAGUUUGAUCCUGGCUCAGAUUGAGCGCUGGCGGAAUGCUUUACACAUGCAAGUCGAGCGGCAGCAUGGACUUCGGUCUGAUGGCGAGCGGCGAACGGGUGAGUAAUGUAUAGGAACAUACCCAGUAAUGGGGGAGUAACGCCGAGAAAUACGGUGCUAAUACCGCAUACGCCCUCGAGGGGGAAAGGACGGGGGAGUCUUCGGACCUCGCGUUAUUGGAUUGGCCUAUAUCUGAUUAGCUAGUUGGU
This 249-nucleotide ribosomal RNA is filed under the name uncultured bacterium. Its description in RNAcentral is "partial 16S ribosomal RNA". It matches the Rfam family "Bacterial small subunit ribosomal RNA", at positions 8 to 253 of the family's 1533-position model. The record is from RNAcentral.